UUUUCAUGGUUUUAUUUUCGGUAAUCGUGGAAACUAGAUUUAAAUAAAGAUAUUGGUACGGCUUCUUGUCCUCGUUCGUAAUUCCCGUACUCUCUAUUCUCUAUAUAGAACUCACGCACGCACAAAUACCAUCUCGUUUAUACUUAGGGUUCAUAGUACUGUUAUACCGCCCCUGAUUGCAUACUGAAACGCAUGCAAUGCGCAGAGUAUCCACAAGUAUCGUGGCCAGCGUUUGCUGCGUUAGCCAUUUAGUAGUACAUGGCACUAGCAUAGAAUGUGAAAUUUCUCUAAAUAUUUUUACAAAUUUGUUUCUUAAAUUUUGCUGUAAAAGUUACACGGAGAAACCUAACAGACCUUACGAGUUUAUUAAAUUUUUGGCGGAACUCUUCGAUUUUUCGUCAUAUCCUAUUCCUUAUUGUAUUAGUCUACCAUCGUGUGUACAGAAAUUAGGGCGUGAAGAGUGUUUUACAGGCAUUAAACCUAUACUUCUAAAAUUUUCUUAAAUAAUAAUAUGAAAUAACAUCAAACAUGACUAGCUCAGAAAUAAUUCGGCACACCUCUAAUUAUUCCUUGGAAAUUAUACGAGUAUUCAUGAAUAUUUUAUAAACAUAGUGAUUUGUAAUCUAAAGUUAUAGUAAUGGUAUUGACCAAUAAUUUUAAUGUAACUAAUGAAAACCAGGUUUUGUAUGGACCUAAUACAGAAAGAAUAAAAAAUGUCUAGAAAGCGUGCUAGAGAAGAAACUAUGUUGAAUUCUACAACUUAUUUAAAUAUUCAAAAUGGAGAGGAUGCAUCUUGCUCCAAGAAAGAUUCGCCUGUUUAUCCUCUAGUGACAAUGACUUGGGGGACCAACAGGAAUUCAAAUAAUGAGUCAGGUCAAUUUUCGCUGAAAAAGUAUAAUAGCGAAAUUUCUGUUUCCCACAAAGAACUUCCAUCAAUUUGUAAGGAGGCUCCCUUUAGUGAUGAUCCAGAAGCACUUGCCGAAAGAAAUGCAUGUGAUUAUAAUAUUCGUAUUACAUUGAAAAUGGCGAGAAGUAGUAAAGCUCCUAGGAAAAUCAGAGUCUAUGCAGAUGGUAUUUAUGACCUAUUUCAUCAAGGACAUGCACGACAACUUUUACAAGCAAAAAAUAUUUUCCCUAAUGUGUAUCUUAUUGUGGGAGUUUGUAAUGAUCAGUUAACACAUAGUAAAAAGGGAAGGACAGUUAUGACAGAUGUUGAGAGAUAUGAUGCAGUAAGACAUUGUCGUUAUGUAGAUGAGGUGGUUAGGGAUGCACCUUGGGAACUGGAUGAUGAAUUUCUUACAAAACAUAAAGUAAAAUUAACUAUUGACUUUGUUGCUCAUGAUGAUAUACCUUAUAUGACAGAUGAUAGUACAGAUGUUUAUGCAGGCCUGAAAGCUAAAGGUAUGUUUGUGGCUACGCAAAGAACAGAAGGAGUAUCAACGUCAGAUAUUGUUGCAAGAAUAGUUAAAGAUUAUGACAUUUAUGUAAGAAGAAAUCUUGCGCGAGGCUACAGUGCCAAAGAACUUAAUGUUUCUUUUCUCAAUGAAAAGAAAUUCCGCUUACAAAAUAAGUUUGAUGAUUUAAAAGAUAAAGGUAAACGGGUGAUGGAGAAUAUUGGCGAAAAACGUAUGGAUAUGAUUAGCAAAUGGGAAGAAAAGUCUCGGGACUUUAUUGAUGCUUUUCUACUCUUGUUUGGAAGAGAAGGUAGAUUGUCAACGAUUUGGAAUGAAAGCAAAGGACGUUUGAUGCAAGCAUUAUCUCCUCCUGCAAGCCCAAAAAGAGAUGGUAGUCCGAAUGGCAGUAAUAGCAGCAAUAAUGAUGAAGAUCAGACAAGGUACAUCACAGCAUUCGAGUCAAUUGACUAACAUGCAACACCACUUCAUUCUGUACUGCUUCUAUAUGAAAACCUUCAAUACUUCAUACCAUCCAUUUGCAGCAUGUUAUUCCACCACCAAAAAAGACUGGCCGUUUUGAAUAUUCACAGAGUAACUAUUAUUUAAGCGAUGAUUACAGCGAUGAUGAAGAAGAAAAUUUGCAAUCCAAAUGAUAAUCCUUUUUUUCAAAAACACAUUCUUUAUUUUGACCAAAAAUAUCGUGCAAUCUCCCAAAAAAUGUUUAAGGAUAUUUUAUUGCGUCUAUGUGAUUUGAAGAUAUGGAUUAUAAUAUUAUGCUUAAUAGUAUUUUUAUGGUAUGAUUUCAUACUAUAUACGAUAUAAAAUUAUCUGUUAUAAUGUUUUCAUUCAAUCCAGCCAUGGAUUAUUAUAUAUUAAUUAAAUUAUAUAUAUGCACGAAUAUUGAGAAAUCAUACAGAUAACUUAAAACAUUCGUUGCAACUAUUCUUGAGAGUUUCGUUAUUGUUGUAUUAUUAGUAAGUUCCUAUAUUCUGAACGAUACUUCAUCAUUCAUUUUGAGUUUCAUGCUAUAUAAGAACUACUAACAGUCAAAAGACAUAUUUUCACCUCGUGCAAAAAAAUAUGUGGUUCAAAUAUUCUGUCAACAAUUUUUAAUAAUUUUCAAUUGUUUUGUUACUAAUUUUAUAUAACAUUUUUUAUACAUGUUACCUCAUAAUUAAUUACUUAUGUACUAUACAUUUGCAGUGAGUACCUUCGCUGUAAUUAGUAUUAAAUCAUAUUUUUAUUGAACA
Molecule: RNA transcript, 2644 nt
Organism: Bombus impatiens (common eastern bumble bee)
Lineage: Eukaryota; Metazoa; Arthropoda; Insecta; Hymenoptera; Apidae
Gene name: choline-phosphate cytidylyltransferase A
Exons: 11
Source: RefSeq, a predicted model, not a curated record